GAUGAACGCUCGCUACAGGCUUAACACAUGCAAGUCGAGGGGAAACGACAUCGAAAGCUUGCUUUUGAUGGGCGUCGACCGGCGCACGGGUGAGUAACGCGUAUCCAACCUGCCCAUCACUUGGGAAUAACCUUGCGAAAGUAAGACUAAUACCCAAUGACAUCCCACGAAGACAUCUGAAUGGGAUUAAAGAUUUAUCGGUGAUGGAUGGGGAUGCGUCUGAUUAGCUUGUUGGCGGGGUAACGGCCCACCAAGGCAACGAUCAGUAGGGGUUCUGAGAGGAAGGUCCCCCACAUUGGAACUGAGACACGGUCCAAACUCCUACGGGAGGCAGCAGUGAGGAAGAUUGGUCAAUGGGCGAGAGCCUGAACCAGCCAAGUAGCGUGCAGGAUGACGGCCCUAUGGGUUGUAAACUGCUUUUAUAAGGGAAUAAAGUGGGUCUCGUGAGACUUUUUGCAUGUACCUUAUGAAUAAGGACCGGCUAAUUCCGUG
This 492-nucleotide ribosomal RNA is filed under the name uncultured bacterium. Its description in RNAcentral is "partial 16S ribosomal RNA". It matches the Rfam family "Bacterial small subunit ribosomal RNA", at positions 28 to 507 of the family's 1533-position model. The record is from RNAcentral.